Molecule: ribosomal RNA, 583 nt
Filed under: uncultured bacterium
Lineage: Bacteria
Description: bacterial SSU rRNA
Rfam family: Bacterial small subunit ribosomal RNA
Source: RNAcentral
ACUCCUACGGGAGGCAGCAGUGGGGAAUUUUCCGCAAUGGGCGAAAGCCUGACGGAGCAAUACCGCGUGCGGGACGAAGGCUUUUGGGUCGUAAACCGCUUUUGUUAGGGAAGAAGAACUGACGGUACCUAACGAAUCAGCAUCGGCUAACUCCGUGCCAGCAGCCGCGGUAAUACGGGGGAUGCAAGCGUUAUCCGGAAUUAUUGGGCGUAAAGCGUCCGCAGGUGGUUUAUCAAGUCUGCUGUCAAAGCGUGGGGCUUAACCCCAUAAAGGCAGUGGAAACUGAGAGACUAGAGUACGGUAGGGGUAGCGGGAAUUCCCAGUGUAGCGGUGAAAUGCGUAGAUAUUGGGAAGAACACCAGCGGCGAAGGCGCGCUACUGGGCCGAAACUGACACUCAUGGACGAAAGCUAGGGGAGCGAAAGGGAUUAGAUACCCCUGUAGUCCUAGCUGUAAACGAUGACAACUAGGUGUUGCGCGUAUCGACCCGUGCAGUGCCGUAGCUAACGCGUUAAGUUGUCCGCCUGGGGAGUACGCACGCAAGUGUGAAACUCAAAGGAAUUGACGGGGGCCCGCACAAGCGG